UACAGAGGUCCCAAGCGUUGUUCGGAUUCAUUGGGCGUAAAGGGUGCGUAGGCGGUGGGGGUAAGUUGGAUGUGAAAUCUUGGGGCUUAACCUCAAAAUUGCAUUCAAUACUGCUCCGCUCGAGUUCUGGAGAGGAGACUGGAAUUUACGGUGUAGCGGUGAAAUGCGUAGAUAUCGUAAGGAAGACCAGUGGCGAAGGCGGGUCUCUGGACAGUUCCUGACGCUGAGGCACGAAGGUCAGGGGAGCAAACGGG
RNAcentral lists this ribosomal RNA (254 nucleotides) under uncultured bacterium. RNAcentral's name for it is "partial 16S ribosomal RNA". It matches the Rfam family "Bacterial small subunit ribosomal RNA", at positions 524 to 776 of the family's 1533-position model. The record is from RNAcentral.